AUUGAACGCUGGCGGCAUGCCUUACACAUGCAAGUCGAACGGCAGCGGACCUUCGGGUGCCGGCGAGUGGCGAACGGGUGAGUAAUAUAUCGGAACGUACCUUUCAGUGGGGGGUAACGUAGCGAAAGUUACGCUAAUACCGCAUAUUCUGUGAGCAGGAAAGCAGGGGAUCGCAAGACCUUGCGCUGAUUGAGCGGCCGAUAUCAGGAUUAGCUAGUUGGUGAGGUAAAGGCUCACCAAGGCGACGAUCUGUAGCGGGUCUGAGAGGAUGAUCCGCCACACUGGAACUGAGACACGGUCCAGACUCCUACGGGAGGCAGCAGUGGGGAAUUUUGGACAAUGGGCGCAAGCCUGAUCCAGCCAUGCCGCGUGAGUGAAGAAGGCC
This 385-nucleotide ribosomal RNA is filed under the name uncultured bacterium. Its description in RNAcentral is "bacterial SSU rRNA". It matches the Rfam family "Bacterial small subunit ribosomal RNA", at positions 30 to 416 of the family's 1533-position model. The record is from RNAcentral.